RNAcentral lists this ribosomal RNA (497 nucleotides) under uncultured bacterium. Its description in RNAcentral is "partial 16S ribosomal RNA". It matches the Rfam family "Bacterial small subunit ribosomal RNA", at positions 28 to 507 of the family's 1533-position model. The record is from RNAcentral.
GAUGAACGCUGGCGGCGUGCCUAAUACAUGCAAGUCGAGCGAACGGACGAGAAGCUUGCUUCUCUGAUGUUAGCGGCGGACGGGUGAGUAACACGUGGAUAACCUACCUAUAAGACUGGGAUAACUUCGGGAAACCGUAGCUAAUACCGGAUAAUAUUUUGAACCGCAUGGUUCAAAAGUGAAAGACGGUCUUGCUGUCACUUAUAGAUGGAUCCGCGCUGCAUUAGCUAGUCGGUAAGGUAACGGCUUACCAAGGCAACGAUGCAUAGCCGACCUGAGAGGGUGAUCGGCCACACUGGAACUGAGACACGGUCCAGACUCCUACGGGAGGCAGCAGUAGGGAAUCUUCCGCAAUGGGCGAAAGCCUGACGGAGCAACGCCGCGUGAGUGAUGAAGGUCUUCGGAUCGUAAAACUCUGUUAUUAGGGAAGAACAUAUGUGUAAGUAACUGUGCACAUCUUGACGGUACCUAAUCAGAAAGCCACGGCUAACUACGUG